This 1019-nucleotide ribosomal RNA is filed under the name Klebsiella pneumoniae. Its description in RNAcentral is "bacterial SSU rRNA". It matches the Rfam family "Bacterial small subunit ribosomal RNA", at positions 500 to 1533 of the family's 1533-position model. Lineage: Bacteria; Pseudomonadati; Pseudomonadota; Gammaproteobacteria; Enterobacterales; Enterobacteriaceae. The record is from RNAcentral.
ACUACUGGCCAGCAGCCGGGUAAUCCGUAGGGGCCAGCGUUUUUCUGAAUCUAUUGGGAGUAAAGAGCUUGUUGGCGGUUUUUUGGUUUACUUUGAAAUUCGAGGUUCAACUUCGGGCCUGCAGUGGGUACGGGCAGACUAGAGUGCGGUAGGGGAGAUUUGAAUUCUGGUGUAGCGGUGGAAUGCGCAGAUAUCAGGAGGAACACCGAUGGCGAAGGCAGAUCUCUGGGCCGUAACUGACGCUGAGGAGCGAAAGGGUGGGGAGCAAACAGGGUUAGAUACCCUGGUAGUCCACCCCCGUAAACGUUGGGAACUAGUUGUGGGGUCCAUUCCACGGAUUCCGUGACGCAGCUAACGCAUUAAGUUCCCCGCCUGGGGAGUACGGCCGCAAGGCUAAAACUCAAAGGAAUUGACGGGGACCCGCACAAGCGGCGGAGCAUGCGGAUUAAUUCGAUGCAACGCGAAGAACCUUACCAAGGCUUGACAUAUACGAGAACGGGCCAGAAAUGGUCAACUCUUUGGACACUCGUAAACAGGUGGUGCAUGGUUGUCGUCAGCUCGUGUCGUGAGAUGUUGGGUUAAGUCCCGCAACGAGCGCAACCCUCGUUCUAUGUUGCCAGCACGUAAUGGUGGGAACUCAUGGGAUACUGCCGGGGUCAACUCGGAGGAAGGUGGGGAUGACGUCAAAUCAUCAUGCCCCUUAUGUCUUGGGCUUCACGCAUGCUACAAUGGCCGGUACAAAGGGCUGCAAUACCGUGAGGUGGAGCGAAUCCCAAAAAGCCGGUCCCAGUUCGGAUUGAGGUCUGCAACUCGACCUCACGAAGUCGGAGUCGCUAGUAAUCGCAGAUCAGCACCGGUGCGGUGAAUACGUUCCCGGGUCUUGUACACCCCCCCCGUCAACUCCUGAAAGUCGGUAACACCUGAAGCCGGUGGCGUAACCCUUGUGGAGGCAGCCGUCCAAGGUGGGAUCAGUAAUUAGGAGUAAGUCGAACAAGAGCUAAACCCCCCCGAAAAUCGGG